GUCACUUUCUGCCAGAGUUGCCCAUUAAAAUGACAAAGCAAUCUGCUCCCAGAUACCUUGGCCAGAACUUGAAAAAUGACUGGAAGACUUCAUAAAACUCCCAAUACUCAUAUCCUCCAAGGUUAUACGUCUCACUCAAUCUCCCAUCUCAAGCUUCGCAGAAAACUUGCAUGGACCUGCUCUCCUAAACAUUGACUUUGACUUCAGUAGAAUGGCAUAACAUCAACAUAACCACCUUGGUUGCGGACUACACCAGCAUGUAUAGCUGCUCGGCAGAUACUGGAUAUCUAAGAAAGAAAGAGG
Long non-coding RNA from Oxyura jamaicensis (ruddy duck), 303 nucleotides. RefSeq lists it as uncharacterized. NCBI's taxonomy places the organism in Eukaryota, Metazoa, Chordata, Aves, Anseriformes, Anatidae. The transcript is spliced from 4 exons. The record is from RefSeq and is a predicted model, not a curated record.